GACGAACGCUGGCGGCGUGCUUAACACAUGCAAGUCGAACGGAAAGGCCCUUCGGGGUACUCGAGUGGCGAACGGGUGAGUAACACGUGGGUGAUCUGCCCUGCACUUUGGGAUAAGCCUGGGAAACUGGGUCUAAUACCGAAUAUGAUCAUCGGCUUCAUGGUCGGUGGUGGAAAGCUUUUGCGGUGUGGGAUGGGCCCGCGGCCUAUCAGCUUGUUGGUGGGGUAAUGGCCUACCAAGGCGACGACGGGUAGCCGGCCUGAGAGGGUGACCGGCCACACUGGGACUGAGAUACGGCCCAGACUACUACGGGAGGCAGCAGUGGGGAAUAUUGCACAAUGGGCGCAAGCCUGAUGCAGCGACGCCGCGUGAGGGAUGACGGCCUUCGGGUUGUAAACCUCUUUCAGCACAGACGAAGCGCAAGUGACGGUAUGUGCAGAAGAAGGACCGGCCAACUACGUG
Molecule: ribosomal RNA, 462 nt
Filed under: uncultured bacterium
Lineage: Bacteria
Description: partial 16S ribosomal RNA
Rfam family: Bacterial small subunit ribosomal RNA
Source: RNAcentral